GUGGCCCUACGGGACGCAGCAGUGGGGAAUAUUGGGCAAUGGACGCAAGUCUGACCCAGCAACGCCGCGUGAAGGAAGAAGGCUUUCGGGUUGUAAACUUCUUUUAAGGGGGAAGAGCAGAAGACGGUACCCCUUGAAUAAGCCACGGCUAACUACGUGCCAGCAGCCGCGGUAAUACGUAGGUGGCAAGCGUUGUCCGGCUUUACUGGGUGUAAAGGGCGUGCAGCCGGAGAGACAAGUCAGAUGCGACAUCCACGGGCUCAACCCGUGAAC
Molecule: ribosomal RNA, 273 nt
Filed under: uncultured bacterium
Lineage: Bacteria
Description: partial 16S ribosomal RNA
Rfam family: Bacterial small subunit ribosomal RNA
Source: RNAcentral